This 539-nucleotide transfer RNA is filed under the name uncultured Prochlorococcus sp. Its description in RNAcentral is "partial 16S-23S ribosomal RNA intergenic spacer". The stretch from base 215 to 287 matches the Rfam family "tRNA". Lineage: Bacteria; Bacillati; Cyanobacteriota; Cyanophyceae; Synechococcales; Prochlorococcaceae. The record is from RNAcentral.
CAGGGAGACAACAAAAUGUUUAAUAUUAUUAUUUUGUCACCUUAGGUCGAUCGGUAUCUCACAUUUUUAAUUUAUUAAAAAUUUCAUUUCCUAAGUUUUUUCUAGGUCACACCCAUUAUUUUUCCUGGGCCAUUAGCUCAGGUGGUUAGAGCGCACCCCUGAUAAAGGGUGAGGUCCCUGGUUCAAGUCCAGGAAUGGCCCAUAUCUCUAUGUUGGGGGUAUAGCUCAGUUGGUAGAGCGCCUGCUUUGCAAGCAGGAUGUCAGCGGUUCGAGUCCGCUUACCUCCACUGAUUACCACCUCUUCCAUAACUAAAGGAAAUUUUAUAAGUUGUGACCUAAUUCUGAAAGAAUCUAGCUUCCUAAUUAAAUCUUUAAGAUAAAUCAUUAAGAUGCUGGACUCAUUGAAUUAAAUUCAUUGUUUUCAGAGAACCUUGACAACUGCAUAGAUUAUUUUUAAAGACAAUAAGCAUCUUUUAAUGAUGCAGAUUUAUUAUUUGUGCGAAUGCAUUAAUAACAAUUCUAUUAAGCUGAUGCUUCAA